Molecule: ribosomal RNA, 906 nt
Filed under: Pediococcus pentosaceus
Lineage: Bacteria; Bacillati; Bacillota; Bacilli; Lactobacillales; Lactobacillaceae
Description: bacterial SSU rRNA
Rfam family: Bacterial small subunit ribosomal RNA
Source: RNAcentral
UUCUGCAGUCGAACGAACUUCCGUUAAUUGAUUAUGACGUACUUGUACUGAUUGAGAUUUUAACACGAAGUGAGUGGCGAACGGGUGAGUAACACGUGGGUAACUUGCCCAGAAGUAGGGGAUAACACCUGGAAACAGAUGCUAAUACCGUAUAACAGAGAAAACCGCAUGGUUUUCUUUUAAAAGAUGGCUCUGCUAUCACUUCUGGAUGGACCCGCGGCGUAUUAGCUAGUUGGUGAGGUAAAGGCUCACCAAGGCAGUGAUACGUAGCCGACCUGAGAGGGUAAUCGGCCACAUUGGGACUGAGACACGGCCCAGACUCCUACGGGAGGCAGCAGUAGGGAAUCUUCCACAAUGGACGCAAGUCUGAUGGAGCAACGCCGCGUGAGUGAAGAAGGGUUUCGGCUCGUAAAGCUCUGUUGUUAAAGAAGAACGUGGGUAAGAGUAACUGUUUACCCAGUGACGGUAUUUAACCAGAAAGCCACGGCUAACUACGUGCCAGCAGCCGCGGUAAUACGUAGGUGGCAAGCGUUAUCCGGAUUUAUUGGGCGUAAAGCGAGCGCAGGCGGUCUUUUAAGUCUAAUGUGAAAGCCUUCGGCUCAACCGAAGAAGUGCAUUGGAAACUGGGAGACUUGAGUGCAGAAGAGGACAGUGGAACUCCAUGUGUAGCGGUGAAAUGCGUAGAUAUAUGGAAGAACACCAGUGGCGAAGGCGGCUGUCUGGUCUGCAACUGACGCUGAGGCUCGAAAGCAUGGGUAGCGAACAGGAUUAGAUACCCUGGUAGUCCAUGCCGUAAACGAUGAUUACUAAGUGUUGGAGGGUUUCCGCCCUUCAGUGCUGCAGCUAACGCAUUUAAGUAAUCCGCCUGGGGAGUACGACCGCAAGGUUGAAACUCAAAAAAUUGAC